Molecule: ribosomal RNA, 305 nt
Filed under: uncultured bacterium
Lineage: Bacteria
Description: bacterial SSU rRNA
Rfam family: Bacterial small subunit ribosomal RNA
Source: RNAcentral
UCCUACGGGGCGCAGCAGUGAGGAAUAUUGGUCAAUGGCCGCAAGGCUGAACCAGCCAAGCCGCGUGAAGGACGAAGGUGCCAAGCAUUGUAAACUUCUUUUGUCAAGGGGCAAAAUCAGGCUCGAGAGGCUGACCGAGGGUACUUGAAGAAAAAGCAUCGGCUAACUCCGUGCCAGCAGCCGCGGUAAUACGGAGGAUGCGAGCGUUAUCCGGAUUUAUUGGGUUUAAAGGGUGCGCAGGCGGACUGUCAAGUCAGCGGUAAAAGCGCGGGGCUCAACCCCUGCGAGCCGUUGAAACUGGCUGU